Molecule: small RNA, 2310 nt
Filed under: Rattus norvegicus (Norway rat)
Lineage: Eukaryota; Metazoa; Chordata; Mammalia; Rodentia; Muridae
Description: uncharacterized LOC108352132
Source: RNAcentral
UGAAAUGCAAGCGACUGUCCACAUGCCAUCUGAGAAGGGUUUAGAGGUCCCAAAGUCCCCAGAGUGAUGAAUAAUUUAUGGGUGCUAUUUUGUCUGUGUUCAAGGCUGUCGUCCAUCCAUUCAUCCAUCUUCCUUCCUUCCUUCUUUCCGUCUAUCCAUCCUUGUUUUUAUGAGACAGAAUCUCACUCUGGAGCCCAGACUAAGCUGGAACUCACUAUGUAACCCAGGCUGGACCUUGAAUUAGGGAAUUAUCCUGCUUCAGCUUCCAAAAAGCUGGGAUUAUAAAGUUGAACCAGCAGGUAAUGGCUCACGUCUUUAAUCCCAGCACUUGGGAGACAGAGGAAAACCCAGCCUCCGCCUGCCCCCAAUCCCAGCCACUGUGGAAUUUCACCCAAGGGAUGCUAAUAGCCAUUUAUUUGAAUGACCAUUGCUCAGACGCUGCUCUGAGCAAGUGCUACAAGUCUGAGCAUCCUUAUGAGACAGGCACUCCCUUCACAGAUGAGGGGAGUGGAGCACAGAGAGGAGAAGACAGCUGCCUAAGUUGCUCACUGGGAUCUGGCCAGAGGCAGAAUGGACUGGACUCCCGACUCCUGUUCUUAGCGGCUACACCGUUCAGCUGUGGCAUCUAUCCCAGUCCACUGAGUAGCUGAUCUUUUCAUUUGGAUCUCACAGUGUUAAUAUCUCAGGUUUCUCCCCUAUCCCAGGACAGGGACUUGCUAUGUAGCCCAGACUGGCCUCCAGGUCCCAUGCCCCUGCCUGCCUCCACCUCCCAAGUGCCUCAGACUUUUCACGGGCAGAGCUGUGUUGGUUAGAGGGAAGCUUCUCCUACCUCUUCGUGGUUCUUCUUGAGGCAGACGUGGAGAAGCAAGGGCAGCUUUUUCCAAGGACGGAAGGCAUAGUUCAGUGUUCGCUUCCUCCAGAGCUUUCACAUUAUCCAGGGGCUGAUCCAGUGUCACAGGCUAAGUGAGACAGAGACAGGCCCUGUCUUCCUGGUUUACUAUGCAGGUGGAUGAAGGACUAUUAGCUACGGAAACAGGAUCUUACUAUUGACCAGGCCUGGAAUUUGCCAUGUAUCUCAGGCUGAUCAAAGAAGGCAAUGCCAAACACCCGAGGCUGGCUGUUUUAUAAAGAAAAGAGAUCUCUCUAACUGACAGUUUUGGAAACUGAGAAUCUGUGAUUGGGCAGCACCAUCUUUUCAGCUUCUGGUGACGGUCCCUUUGUCUUCAUCACAAUGUGGUAGAGAAACGGGAAGGGAAAAGCUUCUGAAGAAGAAGCAAAUACUUGGGGAUGGCUUUGCUUUAAAACAGCCCUUCCACAAGAGCUGAUUGGGUCCCACAAGCAAAACUGUGUGAGUCCUUUUUGAGGCAGAGUCCCUAAUGAACACUGAGCCAAUUGCCUUCCGCGGCGUGUAACCUCUGAAAGGUUCCACUCCCUCAAAGCCAUCACCUGGAGACCAAGUUUCCAGCACAGAAACCUCAAGACAUACGCAAACCACAUUCAAACUUUAGCAACUGGAGAGGGGAGACCAAUGUACAGAAUUUUAAAAUAGGUAGAUGCCGUUCAAAUCCAGAAACCAGCCACAGGGACUGGGCUCAACGGAUAUGGGCUAUGGAACGAGGAACAAGUGGACCAUGAUGUUAAGUGGACAUGGAAUCGUGAUGUCGGAGGUGAGAGAAAUGGACCUGCAGCCAGUUGCUGAUAUCCUUUGAUGAUGGGCUGACAAGAGUAUGUGGUAAGGGGCAUUUGGGUGCCAUCUUCUGUAAAAGCAUUUUAGCAUAUCACAAAACAAAACCAAUGAGACCCUACAUCAAACAAAGUUGAAGGUUAGGGUUGACACUGGAAGUUGUCUUCUGACCUCUAUAUGGAGGGCAUAGCAUUGCACAGAUACAGACAUAGACACACAGACACACACAACACACACACACACACACACACACACACACACACAAAUAAAUUGAAAAAGAAUUAAGUGUCACAAAGCUGGACGUAGCAUUGUGGAUGGACGGAAGAUGGGUUUAUUUGUAUUAUCUGUCUUAAAGUUCAUAGAUGGGGUGUGUGGAGUGGAAGCGAAAGGAAAGAUUCAGGGUGACACCAGAGGAGGGAGAGAAGACAGAAGCUGAAAACUGGGAGGAGAGAGUGCACCAGUAGGGAGAGAGACAGGGACAGGGACUAAUGAGGGGCUUCUGACAGAUGUUACUGCUAGGACAUCUAGAGGAAAGACACAUUGAAUAGUUAAUGCUGUAAGGCAGAUUCUCCAUUAAAUGCUCUCUCUCUCUCUCUCUCUCUCUCUCUCUCUCUCUCUCUCUCUCC